Molecule: long non-coding RNA, 240 nt
Filed under: Homo sapiens (human)
Lineage: Eukaryota; Metazoa; Chordata; Mammalia; Primates; Hominidae
Description: non-protein coding lnc-GNAS-1:1
Source: RNAcentral
AUGCCUUUCCCCGGCCUGAAAAACGGGGGGCAGAUCAUUUUGGAAUCUGGAGAUGAACCCCGAAGGAUCAACAGUUCACUGCUUAAUGGCAACAAUCGAGUGGCCUUACCUGAGAGCAAGGAACAUGGCGGCAGGGCUCGGAAGAGGAACCCAGACGUCACCUCCGAGGCCAUGGCCCCGGCUGCCUCCUGCCGGUCCUCCUCGGGCGAUCUCCCCGACCAAGCGCUUUUCAGAUUCUGA